GCCUGGGUGGCUCAGUGGUUGAGCGUCUGCCUUCCACUCAGGUUGUGAUCCUGGAGUCCUGGGAUCAAGUCCCACAUCAGGCU
Non-coding RNA from Canis lupus familiaris (dog), 83 nucleotides. The record is from Rfam. Lineage: Eukaryota; Metazoa; Chordata; Mammalia; Carnivora; Canidae.